GGGGCUGUAGCUCAGCGGCAGAGCACUUGCCUAGCAUGCUUGAGGCAUUGGGUUCGGUCCUCAGCACCA
This 69-nucleotide transfer RNA is filed under the name Marmota monax (woodchuck). Its description in RNAcentral is "tRNA.Ala". The record is from RNAcentral. Lineage: Eukaryota; Metazoa; Chordata; Mammalia; Rodentia; Sciuridae.